UACGGAGGGGGCUAGCGUUGCUCGGAAUCACUGGGCGUAAAGGGCGCGUAGGCGGACAGCUUAGUCAGAGGUGAAAGCCCAGGGCUCAACCUUGGAAUUGCCUUUGAUACUGGCUGUCUUGAGUUCGGGAGAGGUGAGUGGAAUGCCGAGUGUAGAGGUGAAAUUCGUAGAUAUUCGGCGGAACACCGGUGGCGAAGGCGACUUACUGGACAGAUAUUGACGCUGAGGUGCGAAAGCGUGGGGAGCAAACAGG
Molecule: ribosomal RNA, 253 nt
Filed under: uncultured bacterium
Lineage: Bacteria
Description: partial 16S ribosomal RNA
Rfam family: Bacterial small subunit ribosomal RNA
Source: RNAcentral